GACGAACGCUGGCGGCGUGCUUAACACAUGCAAGUCGAGCGGUAAGGCCCUUUCGGGGUACACGAGCGGCGAACGGGUGAGUAACACGUGGGUGACCUGCCCUCAGCUCUGGGAUAAGCCUGGGAAACCGGGUCUAAUACUGGAUAUGACUCCAUGACGCAUGUUGUGGGGUGGAAAGCCUUGUGCGGCUGAGGAUGGGCCCGCGGCCUAUCAGCUUGUUGGUGGGGUGAGGCCUACCAAGGCGACGACGGGUAGCCGGCCUGAGAGGGCGACCGGCCACACUGGGACUGAGACACGGCCCAGACUCCUACGGGAGGCAGCAGUGGGGAAUCUUGCGCAAUGGGCGAAAGCCUGACGCAGCGACGCCGCGUGAGGGAUGACGG
Molecule: ribosomal RNA, 383 nt
Filed under: uncultured bacterium
Lineage: Bacteria
Description: bacterial SSU rRNA
Rfam family: Bacterial small subunit ribosomal RNA
Source: RNAcentral